GUUUCAGCAGCCGCGGUAAUACGGAGGGUGCGAGCGUUGUCCGGAAUCACUGGGCGUAAAGGGCGCGUAGGUGGCCGAGCAAGGUUGCGGUGAAAGCCCGGGGCUCAACCCCGGGUCGGCCGUGGCAACUACUCGGCUUGAGCACUGUAGGGGCGGGUGGAAUUCCGGGUGUAGCGGUGGAAUGCGUAGAGAUCCGGAAGAACACCGGUGGCGAAGGCGGCCCGCUGGGCAGGAAGACGGAGCAAUCCGUCGGCUGACACUGAGGCGCGACAGCGUGGGGAGCAAACAGGAUUAGAUACCCCCGUAGUCC
This 310-nucleotide ribosomal RNA is filed under the name uncultured bacterium. RNAcentral's name for it is "bacterial SSU rRNA". It matches the Rfam family "Bacterial small subunit ribosomal RNA", at positions 505 to 796 of the family's 1533-position model. The record is from RNAcentral.